GGAGGGUUGCCCGAGUGGCCAAUGGGAGCGGGCUGUAAACCCGCCGGCUUUUGCCUUCGUUGGUUCGAAUCCAACACCCUCCACCA
RNAcentral lists this transfer RNA (86 nucleotides) under Polyangiaceae bacterium. RNAcentral describes it as "tRNA-Tyr". It matches the Rfam family "tRNA". From Rfam's summary of the family: Transfer RNA (tRNA) molecules are approximately 80 nucleotides in length. Lineage: Bacteria; Pseudomonadati; Myxococcota; Polyangiales; Polyangiaceae. The record is from RNAcentral.